UUCCGGUUGAUCCUGCCAGAGGUCACUGCUAUUGGGAUUCGACUAAGCCAUGCGAGUCGUGAGGGUUCGGCCCUCGGCAGACGGCUCAGUAACACGUAGAUAAUUUGCCCUUAGGUGGAGGAUACCCUCGGGAAACUGAGAAUAAUACUCCAUAGAUCUAGACUGCUGGAAUGCUUUUAGAUUGAAAGAUUUAUCGCCUAAGGAUAAGUCUGCGGACUAUCAGGUUGUAGUCAGGGUAACUACCUGACUAGCCU
This 254-nucleotide ribosomal RNA is filed under the name uncultured euryarchaeote. RNAcentral describes it as "partial 16S ribosomal RNA". It matches the Rfam family "Archaeal small subunit ribosomal RNA", at positions 1 to 259 of the family's 1478-position model. The record is from RNAcentral. Lineage: Archaea; Methanobacteriati; Methanobacteriota.